This 518-nucleotide long non-coding RNA is filed under the name Chinchilla lanigera (long-tailed chinchilla). Its description in RNAcentral is "lncRNA (ENSCLAG00000026472.1)". The record is from RNAcentral. Lineage: Eukaryota; Metazoa; Chordata; Mammalia; Rodentia; Chinchillidae.
GAAAUACAUUUUCUUUUUUUUUUUUUUUGAGAGAGGGUCUCCCUGUACAGUUCAGGCUGGCCUUGAGCUCACUUUGUAGCUCAGGCUGGUUUCAAAUUUGCAAUGAUCUUCCUGCUGGGAUUACAGGCAUGCACCACUACACCCGGCUGGGAAUACAUUUUCAUGUGUGCUACUGAACAAGAAAAAAUAGUCGAUGUGCCAGGAAACAUGCACUACCCCGGUGCAUCUCACUAAUAAAAAUGGGCCAGCCGGAGAUUGUGGAGCCAGUCCUCCGGAGGUGAACUCCUCCAGGCUACACAAUGUCCCAAGAGGAGUGAUUAUGAGAAAACUAUCAAUCACUGCGUUAAUAACACCCUUCUGAAGGAACUAACGAGAAAGCAAAUUGGAAGGUGAAAUUUUAUCUUUGUUUUCAAAUAAGUGGUCUUGAUUUUUCUUCUUAUAGAAAAAAUUUAAACGGUUACUAUAUAUACAUGUAUAUGCGUAUAUAGAGAGUUAAUUUGUGCAACUUUCAAAUAAAA